This 449-nucleotide long non-coding RNA is filed under the name Mytilus galloprovincialis (Mediterranean mussel). Lineage: Eukaryota; Metazoa; Mollusca; Bivalvia; Mytilida; Mytilidae. The record is from RNAcentral.
GUCUUGAUGAUGAACUGUGGUUGUUAACAAAUCCAUGUAUAAUAUAUAUCACAUCACAUACUAUUUCACUGCAAGGGUAGUAAGCCACCAUGAUGUCUGGUUUCUUAAUAUAUUUAAUAAAGACUUUAAAAAAAUCCCUGGUAUUAUAUUGAUAAAAGAUGGCACUACAAAAUUUGAAAAUUUUAAAGUAGCCAAGAUAAUUAAUCGUAAACCACUCAUCUGCUACUUUCAUAUUUCGAAAAAAUAAUAUUGAUACCUGCUUGUGGUUAAUUAUUAUAGACAAAAAGUCCAUAUUACCAUGACAUAACCGUAGCCAGGGGGGUUCAGGGGGUUUGGACGAACCCCCCCCCCCUUUGAAACCAAAUAAGCACUGUUAAAGUCAACGUUCUGUUCAAAUUGUGACUGUUAAAGUCGAGUUCAUGAGUCCAAAUAACCCCCCCUUGGAAAUU